RNAcentral lists this non-coding RNA (80 nucleotides) under uncultured Prevotella sp. Lineage: Bacteria; Pseudomonadati; Bacteroidota; Bacteroidia; Bacteroidales; Prevotellaceae. The record is from RNAcentral.
AAAUAAGGGGUGCUUCACGAUUGUGAUGCUGAGAUUAUACCCAUAGAACCUGACGCAGGUAAUGCUGCCGCAGGGAUUGC